This 462-nucleotide ribosomal RNA is filed under the name uncultured bacterium. Its description in RNAcentral is "partial 16S ribosomal RNA". It matches the Rfam family "Bacterial small subunit ribosomal RNA", at positions 338 to 795 of the family's 1533-position model. The record is from RNAcentral.
CCUACGGGCGGCAGCAGUGAGGAAUAUUGGUCAAUGGGCGAGAGCCUGAACCAGCCAAGUCGCGUGAAGGAUGACGGCCCUACGGGUUGUAAACUUCUUUUGUCAGGGAGCAAUUGGGUCCACGCGUGGGCUUAGCGAGAGUACCUGAAGAAAAAGCAUCGGCUAACUCCGUGCCAGCAGCCGCGGUAAUACGGAGGAUGCGAGCGUUAUCCGGAUUUAUUGGGUUUAAAGGGUGUGUAGGUGGUUUGAUAAGUUAGAUGUGUAAUACCCAGGGCUUAACUCGGGUGCUGCAUCUAAAACUGUUAGACUUGAGUACUGGAGAGGAUAGUGGAAUUCCUAGUGUAGCGGUGGAAUGCGUAGAUAUUAGGAGGAACAUCAGUGGCGAAGGCGACUAUCUGGACAGCAACUGACACUGAGGCACGAAAGCGUGGGGAGCAAACAGGAUUAGAUACCCCGGUAGUC